Harmonia axyridis is the source of this 1289-nucleotide RNA transcript. RefSeq lists it as uncharacterized. The record is from RefSeq and is a predicted model, not a curated record. The transcript is spliced from 2 exons. NCBI's taxonomy places the organism in Eukaryota, Metazoa, Arthropoda, Insecta, Coleoptera, Coccinellidae.
UACUCGAAGCCAGUUUCUUCUGAGCGAUUGUUACAUUUUAAUUCUUUGCAUUCACUCACACAAAAAAUCGCUAUAAUAAAGAAUGUAAAAUAUAAAAUUCUAAACCUCUCUCAUGAGUCAUUCCAUGAAAAAAAUUUCCGUGAUCAGGCAGCUCUGCUGGUCAAGAAUGGUUAUCCAAGUAAUUUAAUAUAUAAGAUUUUUUAUUCGUCUAUUAGUGCAGGUGAUUCUCGAUCAUCCAGUGAUGUUGAUCAAACGACACAUUAUAGUAAAUUAGUCUAUAUACCGGGAUGCUCUCAGCAAUUGGCAAGAAUAAUGAGCAAUCUCUCAAACAAAGUAGUUUUUUAUUAUAAUAAAACUGUGGGAAAAUUGUUCAGUCGACUAAAGGAUGGCAAUCCUUUGAUGAGACACUCUAAUUUAGUGUACAAAAUAGAUUGUUCAGAUUGUGCUGGCAGUUACAUAGGCCAAACAAAACAGUAUAUAGGGUCGAGGUUGAAACAACAUGAGAGAGAUUGCAAAAAUCGUAGUGAAGCAACAGCAUUAUCACAGCAUGCAAGAAUUAAUGACCACUCCUUUGAUUUUAAUAAUGUAAAAAUUUUAAAUAAAGAAAAGAAUUGGUUUAAACGAACAUUCAAAGAAAUGGUUUUUAUCAAGAGAAUAAAAGAUUCUGUGAAUACACGCACCGAUAUUGGUAGUUUGAGUUCGGUGUAUUUUAACUUAAUUAAUAAGGUAAAUGUAGAUAGUUUUAUCGCGCGGUAGUUCGUGUUUCCUUUUGAAUCGAGUGUUAGUAUGUCUCACACAUUUUAAUGCAGUCUGUCUUGCCUGAUACAUUAGUUUAUACUUAUACGUCUUAUUUGAUGUGGUUUUUUAUGAUAUCCUGAUAAUGCCAUUUUAUUUUAUGGACAUUUAUUUGAUGAUUUCGAUGUAUUCGAAUGAUUUAUAACCGUUAUUCAUAGGCCUGAUGAAGGAGCUAAAUGCUCAGAAACGUUGCCAUUGAAUAAAUUGUAUACAACUGUUCCUUGUGACUGAUAUUCCUCACCAUCGAAUUAAAUCUUCGGAACGAUAAUUUUAUCUGAAAUAAUUAUAUUGGUCUCUUAAUUGGUUGACAUGGGAUUUUUCAACUACAUCAUGACGGUAUUUGGUAUCAACUUGGUUGUACAUUUCAAAGAAUGGGCUAAAGAUAACAAGAAGCUGGCAAACUCGAUCAACAAUAGGAUAUUCCUGUUGAGGUGCAGACAUGAUGGUAUAUACCCAAAGCACAUUGUUAAUGAAGUCAAAUGUGUUUACUCUUU